UUUUCUUACCUCCAGAUUGCAAGAGAAGUUUUGGAUGCUGCUGCUCGGAUUGUAAGACCUGGAAUUACUACUGAUGAAAUUGAUGCUGUUGUUCAUGAAGCAACUAUUGCUGCUGGAGGAUAUCCAUCUCCUUUAAAUUAUCAUUUCUUUCCAAAGUCUUGCUGCACGUCAGUAAAUGAAGUUAUCUGCCAUGGGAUUCCUGAUGCAAGGUAUGUUGUGAACUCAAGC
This is a long non-coding RNA of Salvia miltiorrhiza (redroot sage), 228 nucleotides long. RefSeq lists it as uncharacterized. The transcript has 3 exons. The record is from RefSeq and is a predicted model, not a curated record. NCBI's taxonomy places the organism in Eukaryota, Viridiplantae, Streptophyta, Magnoliopsida, Lamiales, Lamiaceae.